CCUACGGGAGGCAGCAGUGAGGAAUAUUGGUCAAUGGACGAGAGUCUGAACCAGCCAAGUAGCGUGAAGGGUGACUGCCCUAUGGGUUGUAAACUUCUUUUAUAUGGGAAUAAAAUGUUCCACGUGUGGGAUUUUGUAUGUACCAUAUGAAUAAGGAUCGGCUAACUCCGUGCCAGCAGCCGCGGUAAUACGGAGGAUCCGAGCGUUAUCCGGAUUUAUUGGGUUUAAAGGGAGCGUAGGUGGAUUGUUAAGUCAGUUGUGAAAGUUUGCGGCUCAACCGUAAAAUUGCAGUUGAAACUGGCAGUCUUGAGUACAGUAGAGGUGGGCGGAAUUCGUGGUGUAGCGGUGAAAUGCUUAGAUAUCACGAAGAACUCCGAUUGCGAAGGCAGUUCACUGGACUGCAACUGACACUGAGGCUCGAAAGUGUGGGUAUCAAACAGGAUUAGAUACCCCUGUGUC
RNAcentral lists this ribosomal RNA (459 nucleotides) under uncultured bacterium. RNAcentral describes it as "partial 16S ribosomal RNA". It matches the Rfam family "Bacterial small subunit ribosomal RNA", at positions 338 to 795 of the family's 1533-position model. The record is from RNAcentral.